AGGAUAAACGCUGGCGGCGUGCCUAACACAUGCAAGUCGAACGCGCUUUUUCGCAAGAGGAGAGCGAGUGGCGGACGGGUGAGUAACACAUGGGUACCUACCUUGGAGUGAGGGAUACCGGCGAGAAAUCGCCGACAAUACCGCAUACGCUUCUCUUCACCGGGAAGCAAAGUUGCGCAAGCGACGCUCUGAGAUGGGCCUGUGGCCGAUUAGCUAGUUGGUGGGGUAACGGCCUACCAAGGCGACGAUCGGUAGCUGGUCUGAGAGGACGAUCAGCCACACUGGGAUUGAGAACGGCCCAGACUCCUACGGGGGCAGCAGUGAGGAAUUUUCGUCAAUGGGGGCAACCCUGAACGAGCAACGCCGCGUGCAGGAAGACACUUUUCGGAGCGUAAACUGCUUUUCUCGGGGACGAGUAAGGACGGUACCCGAGGAAUCAGCCCCGGCUAACUACGUGCCAGCAGCCGC
Molecule: ribosomal RNA, 468 nt
Filed under: uncultured bacterium
Lineage: Bacteria
Description: SSU rRNA
Rfam family: Bacterial small subunit ribosomal RNA
Source: RNAcentral